ACAGGAGCUAUGCUAGUGAUCCAGAUGAGGAAGCUAAAGUUCUGAGAAUCUGAAAAACGUCUCCAAGAUGAUAGAACUAUUAAGGGGUAGACUGCACUUUGGAACUCAAGCCUGUUCCUGAAGUCCUUUUUGGAGAGAAGACUAUGUCCAAACAACCAUAAUACAGAAGAGAUGCAUCUUGCUCUGUCACCCAGGAUGAAUAAUAAGACAAUCACAGGACUGGAGCCUACCCUAAAGAGCUAGAUGACCCAGUUCUUUACUGCUAGGCAGGUUUGUACCUUCAGAAUCCAAGAAGAAUGGCUGUCAUCUCACCCUGAAUAUGAUUUGUCUCAAAUGAUCAGACCUUCAGAAAUAUGUUAAAUCUAUGAAAUUCUUUUUCUUUUUCAUUUUUCUCAUUGUUAUUAAAAUGACUUUUGCCGAUUCA
RNAcentral lists this long non-coding RNA (424 nucleotides) under Homo sapiens (human). RNAcentral describes it as "HSALNT0320979". The record is from RNAcentral. Lineage: Eukaryota; Metazoa; Chordata; Mammalia; Primates; Hominidae.